UUGAGGCUGGGGAGAUCUCCACCUCGAGUGAGGCACCUUAUGGGGACGCUCCUAUCCUCGUGAGGGGCUGCUUUGGAAGAGUUAGUUUUUAAAUUUCUACCUUUUAAAUUGUAUCAUGUCAGUUUUAAUUGCAUAAAUGACUCAAGAAACAUCAGUAGAUGUCUAGAAGUGGGGCCAACUGUGGAAAUGCAAAUAUGAACAAAGCAAGGUUCCCGCUCCCAAGACCUUCUUCACUGCGUAUCUGGACCUGAAGUGUUAUAGCUCUGAGCACCAAGCCACCUGAAGUGAGAGAGGUCUGUGUGCACCGACCUGUCCAAAUAUAUUUUUCCUCUGGACACCUUUCCAAGCCUGUCUAAUGGAUGGUGGGAGGAUGGACUGACGGUAUUUUGUCCAGGGAUUUCCUCUUCCCAGACUUACAUCCUUUCACAUGCAAGUUGUGUGUCUGUUUGGACAGGAAGACCAAGAAGCCAAGUAAUGUUCCUGGCAAGGAUAUGGGAAAGGAAAGGAAGUGAAAAGGAGUUGAAAGAAGAGAGGAUUUUACAGG
This is a long non-coding RNA of Manis javanica (Malayan pangolin), 544 nucleotides long. RefSeq lists it as uncharacterized. The record is from RefSeq and is a predicted model, not a curated record. NCBI's taxonomy places the organism in Eukaryota, Metazoa, Chordata, Mammalia, Pholidota, Manidae.